AGCAGUCGCCACGGUAAUACGAAGGGUGCAAGCGUUAAUCGGAAUUACUGGGCGUAAAGCGUGCGUAGGCGGUUUGUUAAGUCUGUUGUGAAAUCCCCGGGCUCAACCUGGGAAUGGCAAUGGAUACUGGCAGCUAGAGUGUGUCAGAGGAUGGUGGAAUUCCCGGUGUAGCGGUGAAAUGCGUAGAUAUGGAGGAACACCAGUGGCGAAGGCGACUUUCUGGUCUGUAACUGACGCUGAUGUGCGAAAGCGUGGGGAUCAAACAGGAUUAGAUACCCCAGUAGUCCCUGUCUCUUAUACACA
Molecule: ribosomal RNA, 303 nt
Filed under: uncultured bacterium
Lineage: Bacteria
Description: partial 16S ribosomal RNA
Rfam family: Bacterial small subunit ribosomal RNA
Source: RNAcentral